RNAcentral lists this long non-coding RNA (728 nucleotides) under Trifolium pratense (red clover). RNAcentral's name for it is "long non-coding RNA (TPRA_LNC012791)". Lineage: Eukaryota; Viridiplantae; Streptophyta; Magnoliopsida; Fabales; Fabaceae. The record is from RNAcentral.
UGGAAUAUACCGCAAUGUCCAAUUCCCACUUGUCACUACCAAUAUCCAUAUAAUCCACACAAUACAAUUCAAAAUAUGUGGCUUUCUGAAAUUUACGUGACAAAGGUACUAUCAAAUUAUCAACGUCAUUUAAAUCUAGUGGCCAUAAAAAAAAUGUAUUCCCUUCGGUCCUAUUUAUAAGGAACACUUAGGGCAAAAAAUUUGGUCCUUUUUAUAAGAAACUUUGACCAAUUUUCAAAUGUUUUAAAUGUUCAAUUUCACUUAUGCCUUUAUUUAUUAUGAGAGAGAAUUUAAAAAUAAGUAAAUUAGUUGAAUAAAGAGUAAUUAAAUAAGGGUAUAUAUGGAAUAAAUUUAAUUUUAUAAGAGUAUUAAAUGAAAAUAAUUAUGUUAAAUAGAAUUCCUUAGUCUGUGUGAUUUUUUCAAAUUGUUCCUUAUAAAAAGGACCGGAGGGAGUACUACUUAAAAAAAAUGUACUAUACUUUCAUAAAAAAAUGCUAUCACCAAUAUUUAAAUUUUGUUUGUAACUAAAGUUCAGCUCUGUUCAUGACAAAGCCUUAUUGAAGGGAAAUGAAGCCCAAUACUCAGGCUUUCGCCACAGGCCCGCCGCACGUGACUUGUUUUCACCGCGCAACUGUCUCACGUGCCGCGCUUUCUGAGACUCAUCUUCCUCCGCCGAACAAAAAACUCCAACAAUUCCGGACCACCAAACGCCGCCGUGUCAACCUNNN